UAGUCCACGCCGUAAACGAUGUCGACUUGGAGGUUGUGCCCUUGAGGCGUGGCUUCCGGAGCUAACGCGUUAAGUCGACCGCCUGGGGAGUACGGCCGCAAGGUUAAAACUCAAAUGAAUUGACGGGGGCCCGCACAAGCGGUGGAGCAUGUGGUUUAAUUCGAUGCAACGCGAAGAACCUUACCUGGUCUUGACAUCCACGGAAGUUUUCAGAGAUGAGAAUGUGCCUUCGGGAACCGUGAGAC
Molecule: ribosomal RNA, 245 nt
Filed under: uncultured bacterium
Lineage: Bacteria
Description: partial 16S ribosomal RNA
Rfam family: Bacterial small subunit ribosomal RNA
Source: RNAcentral